Molecule: RNase P RNA, 368 nt
Filed under: Weissella kandleri
Lineage: Bacteria; Bacillati; Bacillota; Bacilli; Lactobacillales; Lactobacillaceae
Description: Bacterial RNase P class B
Rfam family: Bacterial RNase P class B
About the family: Ribonuclease P (RNase P) is a ubiquitous endoribonuclease, found in archaea, bacteria and eukarya as well as chloroplasts and mitochondria. Its best characterised activity is the generation of mature 5'-ends of tRNAs by cleaving the 5'-leader elements of precursor-tRNAs.
Source: Rfam by way of RNAcentral
GUUAGUGGGUAAUUGCGUGUCGCUUAUGCGACAUGAGGAAAGUCCAUGCUCGCACUGACUGCGAUGUCAGUAGUGUUCGUGCUAGCUGAAAAAAUAAGGCUAGGCAGUCAGCAAUGAUUGACGGCCAACGAAAGACCUAAAGGUAACCAUGGUUUAGUAGUUGUUAAGGUGCCACAGUGACGAAGCUGGUUAGAAAUAAACAGCGUGGAACGCGGUAAACCCCACGAGCGAGCAACCCAAACUUUGGUAGGGGCGCUUGAUCUAGCAAAAUGAAGCGAUGGUCGGGGAGGCAGCAAUGCCUGAGAUAGAUGAUUACCGCUAAAAGAAGCUUGCCACGUUUCUUUUAGAACAAAACAUGGCUCACAGCU